This 497-nucleotide ribosomal RNA is filed under the name uncultured bacterium. RNAcentral describes it as "partial 16S ribosomal RNA". It matches the Rfam family "Bacterial small subunit ribosomal RNA", at positions 28 to 507 of the family's 1533-position model. The record is from RNAcentral.
GACGAACGCUGGCGGCGUGCCUAAUACAUGCAAGUUGAGCGCUGAAGGUUGGUACUUGUACCAACUGGAUGAGCAGCGAACGGGUGAGUAACGCGUGGGGAAUCUGCCUUUGAGCGGGGGACAACAUUUGGAAACGAAUGCUAAUACCGCAUAAAAACUUUAAACACAAGUUUUAAGUUUGAAAGAUGCAAUUGCAUCACUCAAAGAUGAUCCCGCGUUGUAUUAGCUAGUUGGUGAGGUAAACGCUCACCAAGGCGAUGAUACAUAGCCGACCUGAGAGGGUGAUCGGCCACAUUGGGACUGAGACACGGCCCAAACUCCUACGGGAGGCAGCAGUAGGGAAUCUUCGGCAAUGGACGAAAGUCUGACCGAGCAACGCCGCGUGAGUGAAGAAGGGUUUCGGAUCGUAAAACUCUGUUGGUAGAGAAGAACGUUGGUGAGAGUGGAAAGCUCAUCAAGUGACGGUAACUACCCAGAAAGGGACGGCUAACUACGUG